UACGAAGGGGGCUAGCGUUGUUCGGAAUUACUGGGCGUAAAGGGCGCGUAGGCGGCUUCGAUAGUCGGGUGUGAAAUGCCUGGGCUCAACCCAGGAAUUGCACUCGAAACUCCGAGGCUUGAGUGUGGGAGAGGUUGGUGGAAUUCCCAGUGUAGAGGUGAAAUUCGUAGAUAUUGGGAAGAACACCGGUGGCGAAGGCGGCCCACUGGACCACAACUGACGCUGAGGCGCGAAAGCGUGGGGAGCAAACAGG
Molecule: ribosomal RNA, 253 nt
Filed under: uncultured bacterium
Lineage: Bacteria
Description: partial 16S ribosomal RNA
Rfam family: Bacterial small subunit ribosomal RNA
Source: RNAcentral